RNAcentral lists this non-coding RNA (160 nucleotides) under Bacillus sp. (in: firmicutes). RNAcentral's name for it is "Bacillus sp. GlcN6P sequence". It matches the Rfam family "glmS glucosamine-6-phosphate activated ribozyme aptamer". Rfam says of the family: This entry contains a glucosamine-6-phosphate activated ribozyme that is found in the mRNA for GlmS. GlmS is an enzyme that uses fructose-6-phosphate and glutamine to generate glucosamine-6-phosphate. The record is from RNAcentral. RNAcentral also lists the same sequence under 1 other name. Lineage: Bacteria; Bacillati; Bacillota; Bacilli; Caryophanales; Bacillaceae.
AAGUAUCUAAAAGCGCCUGAACUAACCAGUGUGGGUUAGUUGACGAGGAGGAGGGUUAUCGAAUGUUCGGCGGAUACCUCCCGGUUGAACGCACAACCGUAAGUUUCUUCUUUAAAACAUUGAGGCAACUCACUGCACAAAGAGAGGAAAAUGCGCAUAC